This 336-nucleotide unclassified non-coding RNA is filed under the name soil metagenome. RNAcentral's name for it is "partial contains 5.8S ribosomal RNA, internal transcribed spacer 2, and large subunit ribosomal RNA". The stretch from base 1 to 120 matches the Rfam family "5.8S ribosomal RNA", at positions 35 to 154 of the family's 154-position model. The record is from RNAcentral.
GAUGAAGAACGUAGCGAAAUGCGAUAAGUAAUGUGAAUUGCAGAAUUCAGUGAAUCAUCGAAUCUUUGAACGCACAUUGUGCCCGCCAGUAUUCUGGCGGGCAUGCCUGUUCGAGCGUCAUUUCAACCAUCAAGCCCCCGGCUUGUGUUGGGGACCUGCGGCUGCCGCAGGCCCUGAAAACCAGUGGCGGGCUCGCUAGUCACUCCGAGCGUAGUAAUACAUCUCGCUCAGGGCGUGCUGCGGGUUCCGGCCGUUAAAAAAGCCUUAUUUACCCAAGGUUGACCUCGGAUCAGGUAGGAAGACCCGCUGAACUUAAGCAUAUCAAUAAGCGGAGGA